RNAcentral lists this long non-coding RNA (206 nucleotides) under Elaeis guineensis (African oil palm). RNAcentral's name for it is "long non-coding RNA (EGUI_LNC074869)". The record is from RNAcentral. Lineage: Eukaryota; Viridiplantae; Streptophyta; Magnoliopsida; Arecales; Arecaceae.
GAAUUCUUAGAUGAAGAACAAUUCUUUCACUCUUCCCUUCUUGCACAAAAGUGCAGUCGCCGGAACCUCAUGUCAUCCAAAGUUUCAAAGAGAUAUGUAGGUCAAUUUAUCAAUAAUCUGGAAAUUGAGGAAUGAGAUAUUUAUGGAGAUUGUCCGAGGAUGGGACCGAGCAAUCUAAGGUCUAAAUUCUAGAAUUCGGCAUAGAA